GAUGAACGCUAGCUACAGGCUUAACACAUGCAAGUCGAGGGGUAACGAGAGGGAAGCUUGCUUUCCUUGUCGACGACCGGCGCACGGGUGAGUAACGCGUAUCCAACCUGCCCCCAACUAGGGAAUAACCUUGCGAAAGUAAGACUAAUACCCUAUAAUUUCCUCAGAUGUCAUCUGACGAGGAAUAAAGAUUUAUCGGUUGUGGAUGGGGAUGCGUCUGAUUAGCUUGUUGGCGGGGUAACGGCCCACCAAGGCAACGAUCAGUAGGGGUUCUGAGAGGAAGGUCCACCACAUUGGAACUGAGACACGGUCCAAACUCCUAGGGGAGGCAGCAGUGAGGAAUAUUGGUCAAUGGGCGGAAGCCUGAACCAGCCAAGUAGCGUGCAGGAUGACGGCCCUAUGGGUUGUAAACUGCUUUUAUACAGGAAUAAAGUUAGCCACGUGUGGUUAUUUGUAGGUACUGUAUGAAUAAGGACCGGCUAAUUCCGUGCCAGCCGCCGCGGUAA
RNAcentral lists this ribosomal RNA (506 nucleotides) under uncultured bacterium. Its description in RNAcentral is "partial 16S ribosomal RNA". It matches the Rfam family "Bacterial small subunit ribosomal RNA", at positions 28 to 523 of the family's 1533-position model. The record is from RNAcentral.